RNAcentral lists this ribosomal RNA (715 nucleotides) under Actinomortierella wolfii. Its description in RNAcentral is "LSU rRNA". It matches the Rfam family "Eukaryotic large subunit ribosomal RNA", at positions 66 to 638 of the family's 3401-position model. The record is from RNAcentral. Lineage: Eukaryota; Fungi; Mortierellomycota; Mortierellomycetes; Mortierellales; Mortierellaceae.
UAACAAGGAUUCCCCUAGUAACGGCGAGUGAAGCGGGAAGAGCUCAAAUUUAAAAUCUGGCCGGGUUACCGGUCCGAGUUGUAGUUUAAAGAAGUGUUUUCGGCGGCAACCUGGGUACAAGUCCUUUGGAACAGGGCAUCAUAGAGGGUGAGAAUCCCGUCCAUGACUCAGUGGAUGCUGCUAUGUGAUACACUUUCAAAGAGUCGAGUUGUUUGGGAUUGCAGCUCAAAAUGGGUGGUAAAUUUCAUCUAAAGCUAAAUACAGGCGAGAGACCGAUAGCGAACAAGUACCGUGAGGGAAAGAUGAAAAGAACUUUGAAAAGAGAGUUAAACAGUGCGUGAAAUUGUUGAAAGGGAAACGUUUGGCACCAGUCAUGCGUUCAGGAAAUCAGUCUAUCGAGGUGGGGAGCUGCAGAGGUUUGGACCGCAAGGCCAGCUUUUGUUGCAUUUCUGCUUGGAUGGAUGCACUUUUCUGUAUGCAGGUCAACAUCAGUUUUGUUCGCCGGAAAAAACCUCAAGAGAAUGUGACAGCUUUGGCUGUGUUAUAGCUCUGGGGCGAUACGGUGGGUGAGACUGAGGCUUUCAGUGUGUGCUUUCGGGCAAGGCUGACCGGGUGCUGCGGGCCAGUACGAGGUACAAUACAUGUAUUUUGCUUCGUGUCUGGCUUGCACUCGCUCGAAUCGGCUCUUCCACGCUUAGGAUGUUGACAUAAUGGU